Molecule: long non-coding RNA, 2796 nt
Organism: Setaria italica (foxtail millet)
Lineage: Eukaryota; Viridiplantae; Streptophyta; Magnoliopsida; Poales; Poaceae
Exons: 4
Source: RefSeq, a predicted model, not a curated record
CCGUCCGUUGCUCAUGCGCCGAUCUGCGCCCUUCGUCCUAAUCUGUUUCGCGAACCCCGCUAGCCCCCGAGUCCAAUUGCCUCCUUCCUUCCGCCGCCACCCCCCGAGGCCUCCUGCCUCCUCCCUUCAGCCACCCCGCGAGAGCCUCGGGCCGCACCGCCGCCGCCACAAGCGCUGCACCGCCGCCGCGGCACCCGCCUCCUUCGCCGCCCCUUUCGCGUCGCUCGAGGAUCCUGCACGCCGCCGCUGCACCACCGCACGCCACCUACCCUCCGCGCGGAGGAGGCGGCGGCGGCGGAUCUGUCCCGCUCCCACCCAUCCCAGAAACAGAUCGUCCUGCGCGUCCCUCGCCCUCGACCUCCCAGGCCACUGCGUGCCCUCGCCCAGGCGCUCCUAGAUGAGGAGGAGGAUGGCUACCACGGGGACCCGGUUCCGCCACCGCCGACGCUUCCUCAGCCGCUGCUGCCGGCCCUGUUGCCGCAGGAGGCCUCGCCGAUGGACGCGGAUGGACCCAUGGAGGAGAAGGAUUGCUUCAUCCUUAGCCAGGAUUUCUUUGGGUCGGUUCCGAUUCGAGCUCUGUGUUGGUCUUCUGACAGUAUGGUUUCAGUCUACAUCACGCCGGAGAUGACGCAGGUGGCCAACGAAUUCGAUGACGAUAAGGAGAACAUCCCUUUUCUUUCAGCUGCAUUCGUGAGGAAGGUUGUAACUUGUAACAUCGGUGUCAUGUGUUUCCAGGUUCUCGUGAGAACAUAGUUUGAUACUUCACAUCUUGUUUUGAGAACGAGCAACUUUGUAUUCAAAUGGAACUAUGUGAUUGUUGUCUAUCUGUGAAUCUAAACCAGCCACUGAAGCAUUGGGAAGCCUUGGAACUUCUGUAUCAGGUUUGAGACUUUUAGUUACGAAGCCGUCGUUUACCAAUUUUAUUUCUUCUUGAUCACUUAUCAAAUGAAUACAUUCAUCUUUACUUCCUUCAUAUCUAAUCUAAGCCACCUACCUAUUUAAUAUUUGACUGUAAAAAGAUUACUUUAUUGUAGUAUGAAUUUAGAUACUGCAUUGACCUCCGUUAGAAAGGAUUGGUGUACUUGUUUCACCAAAUAUGGGCUGUAAUUGGCCACCCACAAUUUCUGAAAGAACAAGUCAACAAAAAAACUUGCCAAAACAGGAGGAGCGAUCAUUUCAAGAACCAUGAUCUUUAGUACUUUAUGUUAAAGUUUAUUAUUUAGUUCUACCUUUAUUGAUGAUACGGUACUUGGUUAAUUCUUUUGUCUGAAGUCUGAACUGCCUGACCUGUCCUACUUUUAUAAAUAUAAGUGGGGCAUAAUGCUCUUGCUGCCUUGUCGGUACCUUUUGCCUAUGCAAGGAAUGUGAGAGCAAGGUGAGCUUCUACCCUCUCUGUAAGAUACUUCCCAUGGAGAUAUAUAUGUAGGAUAUAAUUUAUAUACAAAUAUGACUAUCUUACUGGGUAUUUCUAUGUUAACACAUUAAUCUAUAAUUGUAGAACCUAUGUCAAAUUACAAGUCUGCAAUGAGUUAUAAGCUGUUCUCUUCUAGCCCAUUUACUUUUAAACCUUUGAGAAUUGGACAAUGUUUCGGAUUGCCACACAUUUUUUAACAUCAUGAACUGUAAUUGAAAUUAUCUACAAAGUUAGCUUCUUCCGAUAAGAUAAAAUGUUGUGGUAUUGGCUAUACGCAUCUUUACUAAAUAACUUGCGAUUCAUUGGUUUUCUUUGCAGGAUUUAAGGCUUGGAAACUUUUUUUUUUGCAAAACUGAAGCAUAAAAGCAAGCACAUUUGGCAGGAAAAAAUAAUUAAGAAAGAUUUCUUUUGUACAAAUUCAGUUUUAAUAUUAUGUCUGAGUAGAUAAUUUCCUCCUGAAACGGAAUCCUUUAGGUCCUGCUCCGGUGCAUCCAUCAAAAUUACCAGUGUCCAUCUUACCUAUUAGAGAAUGCUUGCAGAUGAACUGAUUUUGGUACUUGAUUCAUCUACACUUUAUUUCUUUUCCAUGUUAAUAGCAUCUGAAAUAUUUUCCUUUCAUUGGCAAACUAUACUACUUUUCUAAAAGCAUACCUUACUCAUUGAAAUAACAUGGAUCAACUUAUUGCAGAUCUAUUGAGGGGGAUUUGGAGAUGUUGUCUCAAGCAAAAAAGAAGGAAGUGAGAAGUUGCUUGGACAAAUUGUGCCUACAUUUUGUUUGCUUUCAGAACUGAUCUGGAAAUAGUUGGGAUCCACACGGUGGCAGAGGUGAUGGAGAAGGUCACUGGCGAGGUCGCCGACGCAUUCCCUAUCAAUGAAAAUCUCAAGGAGGCUACCGACGCCUCGAAGAUUAAGGCGGUCACCGAUGUGAUGGAGGAAGAUGCUGAGAAAGCCAAGGCUCUGAUCCAGAAGUUGCCAGUGUGAGGGAUGGUGGUCGUGCUGAUGGAGACGAUGAUGGGAAGUGGCAGCAAAGGAGGUUGCCGCUAGCUGCUAGCAGCACGCCAGUAUGGAGCUUACUCUGCCAGCGUCUGGGUGGUGGAAGUAGGAUGAUAAUUGUGCGACAGAAAGAUUACAUGAAACUGGCAACGGAAAGAAUCUGUUACCAAUUGUUCAAAUAGCUAGGUAGGCAUUGUAUUUUUUGACAAUUAUUUGUACUUAUGUUUAAAACAAAGUGCCGGCAAUGGAAAGAAUCUGUUACCAAGUGUUCAAAUAGCUAGGUAGGCAUUCUAUUUUUUGACAAUUAUUUGUACUUUUGUUUAAAACAAAGUGAAUGCUUCUAUUAUACAUGUUGUUACAAAAUAUUAUACAAUGAAAAUUAAUGUUCA